This 1582-nucleotide ribosomal RNA is filed under the name metagenome. Its description in RNAcentral is "bacterial LSU rRNA". It matches the Rfam family "Bacterial large subunit ribosomal RNA", at positions 1330 to 2925 of the family's 2925-position model. The record is from RNAcentral.
UUGGGCGUCGAAGGCCCAAGGUUUCCUGGGGAAGGUUCAUCCACCCAGGGUAAGUCGGGACCUAAGCCGAGGACUGAGGUCGUAGGCGAUGGACAGCAGGUAGAGAUUCCUGCACCACUUACACUUGUUUGACGAAGCAGUGACACAGAAGGAUAGGACGAGCGCGGUGAUGGUCAACCGCGUAGGCGGCACGAGGCUGGGGAGCAGUUAAGUACACUUCCCAAGAAGGCUGAGUGCUGACAGGACCGAAAAAGAGUAGGGAAGCGUCUGAGUUCACGCUGGCGAGAAAAGCUGCUAAGGAGAGUGUGAGUGCCCGUACCGGAAACCGACGCAGGUGGGCGAGGAGAGAAUCCUGAGACGGACGGGAGAACUCUUGUUAAGGAACUCGGCAAAAUGACCCCGUAACUUCGGGAGAAGGGGUGCCUCGAAAGAGGCCGCAGAGAAUAGUCACAAGCGACUGUUUAGCAAAAACACAGGUAUCUGCGAAAGCGAGAGCUGACGUAUAGGUGCUGACGCCUGCCCGGUGCUGGAAGGUUAAGGGGAAGUGUUAGGGGAAACCCGAAGCAGAGAACCGAAGCCCCAGUAAACGGCGGCCGUAACAAUAACGGUCCUAAGGUAGCGAAAUUCCUUGUCGGGUAAGUUCCGACCCGCACGAAUGGCGUAACGACUUGUGAGCUGUCUCAACAGGAGGCCCGGUGAAAUUGAAGUAUGUGUGAAGAUGCACAUUACCCGCGACUGGACGGAAAGACCCCGUAGAGCUUUACUGUAACCUGACAUUGGAUCUUGAUAACGGAUGCACAGGAUAGGUGGGACGCAGAGAGACGAGGACUUCGGUUUUCGUGGAGCGGCCGUUGGGAUACCACUCUUCUGUUAUUGAGAUUCUAACCUCAAGCCGUAAGCCGGAUGAGAGACAGUGUCAGGCGGACAGUUUGACUGGGGCGGUCGCCUCCGAAAGAGUAACGGAGGCGCCCAAAGGUACCCUCAGAAUGGAUGGAAACCAUUCGAAGAGAGCAAAGUCAGAAGGGUGCUUGACUGCGAGACCAACAAGUCGAGCAGGUACGAAAGUAGGGCUUAGUGAUCCGGCGGUAAGAGAGUGGAAUUGCCGUCGCUCAACGGAUAAAAGCUACCUCGGGGAUAACAGGCUGAUCUCCCCCAAGAGUUCACAUCGACGGGGAGGUUUGGCACCUCGAUGUCGGCUCGUCGCAUCCUGGGGCUGAAGCAGGUCCCAAGGGUUUGGCUGUUCGCCAAUUAAAGCGGCACGCGAGCUGGGUUCAGAACGUCGUGAGACAGUUCGGUCCCUAUCCAUCGUGGGCGAAGGACACAUGAGAGGAGCUGCUCCUAGUACGAGAGGACCGGAGUGGACGCAUCACUGGUGCAACUGUUGUCGUGCCAACGGCACAGCAGGGAAGCGAAAUGCGGAUGGGAUAAACGCUGAAGGCAUCUAAGCGUGAAGCCCACCUCAAGAAUAAGUGUCCCAUUCGAAAGAAGUAAGACCCCUGGAAGACUACCAGGUGAUAGGUCAUCGGUGAAAGAGUGGUAACAUUUGGAGCUUGGUGAUACUAAUCGGUCGAGGACUUGAUCG